RNAcentral lists this ribosomal RNA (216 nucleotides) under Glomeromycotina sp. Its description in RNAcentral is "partial small subunit ribosomal RNA". The stretch from base 40 to 216 matches the Rfam family "Eukaryotic small subunit ribosomal RNA", at positions 686 to 864 of the family's 1831-position model. The record is from RNAcentral. Lineage: Eukaryota; Fungi; Glomeromycota.
GGGUCAGUAGGUUGGUCGUGCCACCGGUACGUACUGGUCUCACUGAUUCCUCCUUCCUGAAGAACCGUAAUGCCAUUAAUUUGGUGUUGCGGGGAAACAGGACUGUUACUUUGAAAAAAUUAGAGUGUUUAAAGCAAGCUAACGCUUGAAUACAUUAGCAUGGAAUAAUGAAAUAGGACGAUCGAUCCUAUAUUGUUGGUUUCUAGGAUUGACGUA